RNAcentral lists this non-coding RNA (183 nucleotides) under Facklamia miroungae. RNAcentral describes it as "6S / SsrS RNA". It matches the Rfam family "6S / SsrS RNA". From Rfam's summary of the family: E. coli 6S RNA was the first non coding RNA to be sequenced, but its function was unknown until recently. It consists of 184 nucleotides that fold into an extended hairpin structure with a large single-stranded internal bulge. The 6S RNA specifically associates with RNA polymerase holoenzyme containing the sigma70 specificity factor. The record is from Rfam by way of RNAcentral. Lineage: Bacteria; Bacillati; Bacillota; Bacilli; Lactobacillales; Aerococcaceae.
AUAUAUCUGAUGUGUUCGAGAGAUAGUCAAUGUGUUGACCGAACAUUUUACAUUAGGGAUUCUUCAAUCGAAUACAUAUGACAAGCCAUCGCAUGUGGAAGUCAGAACCAAUUCGUGAGAACCCCACCUGAUUGCUAGCGGGUUCAACCUAGCUUUAUUGAAACGGCACGAUUCGGAUAUAUU